UACGUAGGGUGCGAGCGUUGUCCGGAAUUAUUGGGCGUAAAGAGCUUGUAGGCGGUUUGUCGCGUCUGCUGUGAAAAUCCGGGGCUCAACCCCGGGCCUGCAGCCGAUACGGGCAGACUAGAGUUCGGCAGGGGAGACUGGAAUUCCUGGUGUAGCGGUGAAAUGCGCAGAUAUCAGGAGGAACACCGGUGGCGAAGGCGGGUCUCUGGGCCGAUACUGACGCUGAGGAGCGAAAGCGUGGGGAGCAAACAGG
This 253-nucleotide ribosomal RNA is filed under the name uncultured bacterium. Its description in RNAcentral is "partial 16S ribosomal RNA". It matches the Rfam family "Bacterial small subunit ribosomal RNA", at positions 524 to 776 of the family's 1533-position model. The record is from RNAcentral.